This 265-nucleotide long non-coding RNA is filed under the name Elaeis guineensis (African oil palm). Its description in RNAcentral is "long non-coding RNA (EGUI_LNC006799)". The record is from RNAcentral. Lineage: Eukaryota; Viridiplantae; Streptophyta; Magnoliopsida; Arecales; Arecaceae.
UCUACCAGCCUUGUUUGAUGUAGUAGAAAGAUGCUUCUUCCUUCUUUCAUUAACAAUAAAAUUUGAAAACUUUACAAAUUGUUAACGGCUAAUUGGUAUUUUCCUAAGAAUAAUAUAUAUAGCGACUAAUACAGCAACCAUUCAGAAAAGGCCCCCUUAAGUAAAAUUUCCUUUUUCCGGCUCUGAUGGAUGGCUAAAGCAGCGCUUUUCCAUUAUUUCGACACAAAAGGAAACGUUCACGUACAUGUCGAUGCCAAUGAGGGCC